RNAcentral lists this ribosomal RNA (653 nucleotides) under Haliclona fascigera. RNAcentral describes it as "eukaryotic LSU rRNA". It matches the Rfam family "Eukaryotic large subunit ribosomal RNA", at positions 658 to 1243 of the family's 3401-position model. Lineage: Eukaryota; Metazoa; Porifera; Demospongiae; Haplosclerida; Chalinidae. The record is from RNAcentral.
AACACGGACCAAGGAGUGCAAGAGAUGCGCAAGUCGGAAGGGUUGUGUUGGGGUCUUUCCCUCGGGAUUGGCCUUGCCUGAGAGACCCAUGUGUUUGGAACGGGCGAAGUGAGAGCAAUUUCUUGGGUGCGAGAGCCUUGGGGAUGACCCGAGGCGCAUCGCUGGCCGAGCCUAAUGGUCACGCUGUGGCCGGUUUCGAGUGCGAGCGUAUCUGUUGCGACCCGAAAGAUGGUGAACUAUGCCUGAGGAGGGUGAAGCCAGAGGAAACUCUGGUGGAGGCCCGUAGCGGUUCUGACGUGCAAAUCGAUCGUCGCACUUGGGUAUAGGGGCGAAAGACUAAUCGAACCAUCUAGUAGCUGGUUCCCUCCGAAGUUUCCCUCAGGAUAGCUGGAGCUCGUUCCGAGCAGUUUCGUCGGGUAAAGCGAAUGAUUAGAGGUAUCGGGGUUGAAAGGACCUCGCCCUAUUCUCAAACUUUAAAUCGGCGAGAAGGGACGUCUUGCCUGCCGGAAGACGUUCCCCGAAUGCAGGGGCUCCAAGUGGGCCGUUUUUGGUAAGCAGAACCGGCGAUGCGGGAUGAACCGAACGUUGGGCUAUGGCGCCGGAGUCGACGCUAAGCAGAUACCAGGAAAGGUGUUGGUUGAUCCAGACAGCAG